AAAAACAUGUCCUUUUGUUUAUUUAUUUAAGGUCUGACCUGCCCAAUGAGGAAUUGAAUGGCCGCAGUAUUUUAACUGUGCUAAGGUAGCAUAAUCAUUUGUCUUUUAAUUGAGGGCUGGAAUGAAGGGUUGGACGAGGUAUUAACUUUCUUUGAUUUAAUGAGGAGAAUUUAAUUUUUGAGUUAAAAAGCUUAAAUUUAUUUGUGGGACGAGAAGACCCUAUAGAUCUUUAUAGUUUUAUAUUUUAAUAAUUUGGUGAUUUAUUUGUUUUAAGUAGAUGAACUAUUUUGUUGGGGUGACUGUAGAAUUUAAAUAACUUCUAUUAUUUUAUUUCAUUAAUUAGUGUUUUUGUGAUCCAUAUUUUAUGAUUAUAAGAUUAAGUUACCUUAGGGAUAACAGCGUAAUUUCCUCGGAGAGUUCAUAUUGAUGGGGGAG
This 435-nucleotide ribosomal RNA is filed under the name Triatoma infestans. RNAcentral describes it as "partial large subunit ribosomal RNA". It matches the Rfam family "Bacterial large subunit ribosomal RNA", at positions 1809 to 2516 of the family's 2925-position model. Lineage: Eukaryota; Metazoa; Arthropoda; Insecta; Hemiptera; Reduviidae. The record is from RNAcentral.